Molecule: transfer RNA, 87 nt
Filed under: Candidatus Kaiserbacteria bacterium RIFOXYD1_FULL_47_14
Lineage: Bacteria; Candidatus Kaiseribacteriota
Description: tRNA-Leu
Rfam family: tRNA
About the family: Transfer RNA (tRNA) molecules are approximately 80 nucleotides in length. Their secondary structure includes four short double-helical elements and three loops (D, anti-codon, and T loops).
Source: RNAcentral
GCCGCGGUGGCGAAAUUGGUAGACGCGCUAGCUUCAGGUGCUAGUUCUCGCAAGGGAUUGGGAGUUCGAUUCUCCCCCGCGGCACUA